Long non-coding RNA from Etheostoma cragini (Arkansas darter), 437 nucleotides. RefSeq lists it as uncharacterized. The transcript has 3 exons. The record is from RefSeq and is a predicted model, not a curated record. NCBI's taxonomy places the organism in Eukaryota, Metazoa, Chordata, Actinopteri, Perciformes, Percidae.
UUGUCCUUUCAUUAAUGUCCUUUUCUUGUGUUUUGGAUUCUGAGACACGACUGACUGGAGAGCCAUCUUAUUUUGCAAUCUUUAUAGAAAUACUGAGAACCUGGUUUAUUUCCUCCUUACUCCAGACACUAGUAAAAACUAUUGUUUUCUUUUAAUCAGAGCUCUCAAUCUUUCAAACAGGAAGACGUGGUGAAAUCCGCUUUCUGUUUUCAAAAACAAGUGCUUUCUGUCUUUUUGAUGAAUGCUUUUCAUUGGCCAACAUAGGGUCUGUACAAACUGCUGGUGCAGGAAACAUGGUUACAACAUGUUCUUCUAUGAGAAAAUUGCUUUUAUAGUGCAAAAGUACACAAGUAGUGCAAAUAUUACAAGCAAAUGAAAUGUAUACUUGAGUUAAAAUAAAUCCUUAAAUCCAACACCAUGCAUGGUUUUUCCUCAGU